GGACGAGUGCCCGAGAGCAGUCAAUCCGCAAGUAUGCAGAGGAACCGACAAAAAGUGUAGUUUGUCCUGAACUAUGACUUAGUUUCGACUCACUUGGCGAGGCGUACUACUUCUACAAUAUGUAUUCGUGGGAGAUCGGGUUAGGGAUAAGGUAUGGCAAGCGCCCUAUAACGGUGUCAAUCCUCCAAGGCUCCAACCCCCAGGUUUGGUUUUCAUCUGCCUUAUUUUCUUUUGUUCCUUCUGGCGAUGCAUUGAUUUAGUGCAUGGAUGCACAACAGGAAGAUUGGAUGCUAGAUUUGCUAAGUUCUGUGAACAUGUUAGAUGGAACUAAAUUAAGCAUGCUAUUUGCUGAUUUUUUUUUCUGAUAUGCACACACUAACAGUGGCAUACAUGGUCGCUUAGUGAAAUUCUUUCUUAAUGUAAUUGUAUCUGGCACAGCCAAAUAGGGAAAUCAGUGUUUGUUUUUUCUGAUGGAACAGAGAAACCACAUGUUGCAUGGAUGGGGAAAAAAAUCUAAGUAUUGUCCAGCUCUUUCGUUGCAAACUUUCAUGCUCCCAAACAGGGUGACAGAAUGUCGUGGCUACUGAAUAUGUUGGUCCUGCUGUAUUUAGCUACCUGUUGUACUACUAUAACUUCCAUAUUUGACUAUUAGAUUCCAUAUUAGGAUCAAGUUCGCGUUCGAGGAACAAUGUAUGAACAUGCUCCAAUGAAAAUGUGGUAAUUGGGUGCCAGUUGAUUAUUAUUAAUGUGUGAAAUCAUGCCGAUCAAACUGGACAACUCAUCCUACUAUGAAUUAGGAUAUCAAUUUGUAAUCCUUUGUGCAUUGCCAUAGAGUGUAUUUAUCAACAUGGACAGCAUGAGCCUACAAUUGUUUGUAUCUCUUCAUUGUUAGCGUAUAUGAAAUUUUAUUUGACCUUUAUAUCUGUUUUUUUUCUUUUAAAGUAGUUUAUACUCUUAAUUAUCAUAAUUCCUCUUAUUAGCCCGAAGAUUUAAGAGAUAGAGUCCACUAGAAAGCGCUUGUGGAGGAUUGUUUGGGGGUUCUACAAUUUUAUUGGUAAUCUAAAGGUAAUUAAUAUAACUGAGUAUUCUGCCAUUUUUUUCACGAAAUGAUAUAAUUGUAUAAGAACUACUAUAUAUCUACUGUAAUCACCCUGCUAUUUUUGACCCUUUCAUUCUUUUCGAAAUACUUUGUGUAAAGAUUUUAGUAAUAUUUUGCCCAGAUGAAGUGUUUGCACCUUUGAUUCAAUUUUUUGCCUCACACCGGUGCAAAAAUCACAUACAUUUCCUCCUGCUAUUACCAAUAUCAUGAAUAUCUGUAGGGAAUCAACGUGAAGACUGUCUCCUACAGGAAGACGACUUCCUCUGCAGUUCCAUGUAAAUUUAUUUCAGCGAGGAGGUCAUCAUCAUGUCUAAACUGCCGACGGAAAAUGCAGCAUCACCUCACCUUUUGUUGAGUAGCAACAAUCGAGUAGUGGUAGUCAGCUUCAAAUCAUUUGAUGUUUAGGUUCCGAUUCUCUCUUAUCUGAAUAGUUGCAUGCAGCUUUCACUUUUAUAGGGGGUUACCAUCUUGCACAUUUAUAUAUCUGUGUGAUUACAUAAAUUCAGUUUUGAUUGUUCUUCCUUUUGCAGAUGUUUGUAUUUAGCUGAACCACCGUCUACUUUUACUGUUUCCAUAUGAUAUUCUCCC
This 1687-nucleotide long non-coding RNA is filed under the name Triticum aestivum (bread wheat). RNAcentral describes it as "long non-coding RNA (TAES_LNC016782)". The record is from RNAcentral. Lineage: Eukaryota; Viridiplantae; Streptophyta; Magnoliopsida; Poales; Poaceae.